GAAGAUUGCGUGUGCGUGUGGGGGUUGAAGAGGGUUUUAAGGAGUAAGAGAGAAACGUCAAAGGCUGCAAUUAUUGUAUUUUUGAGUAAAAUAUGUUGUUCACUGGAAUAUGUCUUUCUACUCUCUCCUAAGUAUCUUUUACAUUAUAUUUCUCCCUUCUCCCCAAAUUAAACCCCUAUUUACUAGAUUUCACACAAACCUAACCUUCCAUCACGUUCACAUCUCCAAAGUAAUUGCUUUUUAGAUCACAUGGGUUUCUUUACAACAACAACCCAAAAAAAAACUACUUAAAAGGUACAGAUUUCUUCUACUUUUUUAUUAUUUGAAAUUAUGUAGCAGGAGUUAUUAAUAUUCUUUUUAAACUUCAUCAACAAGUUAUAACCCUUCAACACAUCAUCUUAAAUUACUUUGAAAAGCAGGAGAAAUUAGAAAGUCGUGUAGAGCAUCAAAGCUUGCACAAAAAACAAUUUGAAACGCCCUUAAUUAUCCCUCCACAUCAUACUUAAAAUAGUGAUUAAACACUAAAGCUUGCCUUUAAGUCGAACAUGAAAAAUUAAAUAAACCAUUUGUUAAUGUCUUUGUGUAAUUAUUAUAUGAUAAGAAAUUGAAUGAAAUGAUGUUAGCGUUAGUGCUUAAAAGCCCUUUAUGUCAAUCAUUUAUGUAUAAUGCCCCCUUUCUCCUUUUCUUUAGGCAUCAUUUGUCUUUGCCCUUUUAAAUCAAAAUGCUACUCUCUUUAUUCCACACUUUGCUACUUAUUCCAUAAUUUCGAAUCCUCUUCUUUUUUUAAAAAAAAUUAAUUAAAUAAAUAAAGAUGAAAUUAUGCCCAUCAAAAGGAAUUUCUAGAAACAAAUUAAGCAGGGUGUAGAAAUUUCAAAAGCAACCAAUGUAUGUAAACAUUUCAAAGUUGACCUAAGGCAGCACAUUUUCUUGAGUUUAAAGCCAAUUUUGUCAAAUUAAAUGCGGCCUCAAGCAAUACAUCCAUACGGACGGUAUUCGAUAAUUACAUUGGAUCUUAAAAGAAACUCGAAUUCGAAUUAAAAAGGGGAUUGGAGGGAGCUGUGAAACAUGAUUAAAUUGAGACUAAGACAACAAGUAGAGACUUAAACCUCUCCUACUUGACUACGCAACCGGAUGAAACAGACGGGUGGUGAGAGUAAGGUUUGUGGCUUAGGCAGGCCAUUUAGGUAUCUGUGUCGGGUGCAACCCAGCAACUUGCAUGCUCCCAACCCUUUAGAAAUGUGCAAAUUUCAUUGCUAUCUUGGGAUAUAAUGAGUCAAUUCCUGAAUAGUUAUUUUCAUUAAAUACACCUACUUUUCUUCCUCUUCUUAUGUAUCCAUUUAAAUAAGAAUCCCCCUCCUGGAUAACAGUUUUAUACGUAUACGGACGGAUAUUACAAUUGUAGUCAACUUCUGAAAUAUGUAACUUUAAUGCAAAAUUAGUUUAAAUAUUUUAUUUUUUACAGAAGACUUUGGAAUUUAUGGAUGUUAAUUAACUCAUCAUCCUACUUGUGUAUUGAGUUCC
Molecule: long non-coding RNA, 1521 nt
Filed under: Gossypium raimondii (Peruvian cotton)
Lineage: Eukaryota; Viridiplantae; Streptophyta; Magnoliopsida; Malvales; Malvaceae
Description: long non-coding RNA (GRAI_LNC010112)
Source: RNAcentral